GAUGCGAUGAUGAGGUGAAGGCACUCACAGAGGGUGUCGAUGGGGGCAGUGAAUCACACUCCGUGGGCCCAUUUCUUUCAAUAAACGACUUCUCCUUCCACUGAGCAAA
Molecule: small nucleolar RNA, 109 nt
Organism: Syzygium oleosum
Lineage: Eukaryota; Viridiplantae; Streptophyta; Magnoliopsida; Myrtales; Myrtaceae
Product: small nucleolar RNA Z152/R70/R12
Exons: 1
Source: RefSeq, a predicted model, not a curated record